Molecule: long non-coding RNA, 665 nt
Filed under: Pan troglodytes (chimpanzee)
Lineage: Eukaryota; Metazoa; Chordata; Mammalia; Primates; Hominidae
Description: long non-coding RNA NONPTRT014317
Source: RNAcentral
CACAGAGUUGAGCAAUUUGCUGAAGGCCACACAGCUCCUGGAUAAAAUACACACAUUCUGAAGCUGUUGUCUCCUCUGGCUCCUCUGAUGGAUGGGUGUUGCAUCCCAAGAGGGCAGCUAGCUAGCCCUGAACUCUGGAAAACUGACACCAAAUUAGCUGCAAGGAUUUGAAGCUUUCAAGACAUCUUAUCACCUCAGGAGGAAGUCAACGUAGAUGCCUGAAACUUCUUGUGCCUCAGGCAGUGAGAAGCUAUCAGCAUAAAAACUGGCUUCUUCAUCAGUGUUGAAACAGACUUUGUGGAUGUCCAAAUUGCUACACCCUUCCCAGAGAGUAAUUUGCCAAUAUACAUCUGAGGCCUUUCCCGGGAGUCUGCCUUUUGAUCUAACCAUUCAAAGUGGACUUUAUCCCAAUGAAAUCCUAAAGGGCAAGUGCCCUAAAGAUAUUAAGGAAAAGAAUGUGUGUAACAGAAUAUUUAUCACAGCUAGAAACUGAAAACAAAUUGCACAUCAAGAGGGAAUGGAUUAUUUUAAACAUAUGAAAACAUGCUUAACCUCAUUCACAAAAAUUCCACCUGUUAAGUUGGCAAAGAUCCAAAAGUUUGAUAACAGCUCUUAGUGAAUGUGUGGGCACCCUCAAAUGUCAGUUAUUGAAAUGUAAAUUGAUA